GACGUAGGGCGCGAGCGUUGUCCGGAUUUAUUGGGCGUAAAGAGCUCGUAGGCGGCUUGUCGCGUCGACUGUGAAAACCCGUGGCUCAACCAUGUGGUCUGCAGUCGAUACGGGCAGGCUAGAUGUGUGGAGGAGAGUGAAUUCCUGGUGUAGCGGUGAAAUGCGCAGAUAUCAGGAGGAACACCGGUAGCGGAAGGCGGCUCUGGGCGAUAUGACGUGAGGACGAAAGCGUGGGGAGCAACAGG
RNAcentral lists this ribosomal RNA (245 nucleotides) under uncultured bacterium. RNAcentral's name for it is "partial 16S ribosomal RNA". It matches the Rfam family "Bacterial small subunit ribosomal RNA", at positions 524 to 775 of the family's 1533-position model. The record is from RNAcentral.